RNAcentral lists this long non-coding RNA (394 nucleotides) under Vigna radiata. Its description in RNAcentral is "long non-coding RNA (VRAD_LNC003503)". The record is from RNAcentral. Lineage: Eukaryota; Viridiplantae; Streptophyta; Magnoliopsida; Fabales; Fabaceae.
CGACAGAUAUAACAGUUACCGACAGAUAGACUCUGUCGGUAAAUCUUUCGGUAAUUAUUGAAGGAUACAGGCCGUCGGUAAAUCCGUCAGUAAUGCAUAUUGUAGUUACCAACGGACAAAAUCCAUUGGUAAAUCUAUCAGUAAAAAGAGUGUCAAAAUUCCCACUAAUUUUUUUUUCCCUCUCUCUCUACGCGAAGAAGAUUACAUUUUUCUCUCUUACAAAUCAGUUUCGUUAUUUUUUCUUUCCUCUCAUCUCAAGAGCAUUUCUCACCUUCUCUGCAACCAUUUUUCUCUCUCGUGCAACCAUUUUCCCACACUGUCAUUGUUGUCGUUGGAGAGUGUCACCGCUGCCGUUGAAGAGCACCACCACUGCCGUUGGAGAGCUCCACCGUUC